AUUGAACGCUGGCGGCAGGCCUAACACAUGCAAGUCGAACGGUAACAGGAAACAGCUUGCUGUUUCGCUGACGAGUGGCGGACGGGUGAGUAAUGUCUGGGAAACUGCCUGAUGGAGGGGGAUAACUACUGGAAACGGUAGCUAAUACCGCAUAACGUCGCAAGACCAAAGAGGGGGACCUUCGGGCCUCUUGCCAUCGGAUGUGCCCAGAUGGGAUGAGCUAGUAGGUGGGGUAACGGCUCACCUAGGCGACGAUCCCUAGCUGGUCUGAGAGGAUGACCAGCCACACUGGAACUGAGACACGGUCCAGGCUCCUACGGGAGGCAGCAGUGGGGAAUAUUGCACAAUGGGCGCAAGCCUGAUGCAGCCAUGCCGCGUGUAUGAAGAAGGCCUUCGGGUUGUAAAGUACUUUCAGCGGGGAGGAAGGGAGUAAAGUCAAUACCUUUGCUCAUUGACGUUACCCGCAGAAGAAGCACCGGCUAACUCCGUGCCAGCCGCCGCCGUAA
Molecule: ribosomal RNA, 506 nt
Filed under: uncultured bacterium
Lineage: Bacteria
Description: partial 16S ribosomal RNA
Rfam family: Bacterial small subunit ribosomal RNA
Source: RNAcentral